UACGUAGGCAGCGAGCGUUGUUCGGAAUUACUGGGCGUAAAGAGUGUGUAGGCGGUGCUCUAAGUUCGGUGUGAAAUCUCCUGCUUAACUGGGAGGGUGCGCCGGGAAACUGGGGUGCUCGAGCGUGGGAGAGGAAAGCGGAAUUCCUGGUGUAGCGGUGAAAUGCGUAGAUAUCAGGAGGAACACCGGUGGUGUAAACGGCUUUCUGGACCAUAACUGACGCUGAUGCACGAAAGCGUGGGUAGCAAACAGG
Molecule: ribosomal RNA, 253 nt
Filed under: uncultured bacterium
Lineage: Bacteria
Description: partial 16S ribosomal RNA
Rfam family: Bacterial small subunit ribosomal RNA
Source: RNAcentral